CUACGGGGCGCUGCAGUGGGGAAUUUUGCGCAAUGGGCGAAAGCCUGACGCAGCAAUACCGCGUGAGUGAAGAAGGCCUUUGGGUCGUAAAGCUCUUUUCUGGGGGAAGAUAGUGACGGUACCCCAGGAAUAAGCACCGGCUAACUCCGUGCCAGCAGCCGCGGUAAUACGGAGGGUGCAAGCGUUGGUCGGAUUUACUGGGCGUAAAGGGCACGUAGGCGGCACAGCAAGUUAAGGGUGAAAUCCCGGGGCUCAACUCCGGAACUGCUCUUAAAACUGCUGAGCUAGAGAUGGUCAGAGGCGGGUAGAAUUCCUGGUGUAGAGGUGAAAUUCGUAGAUAUCAGGAGGAAUACCGGUGGCGAAGGCGGCCCGCUGGGGCCAUUCUGACGCUAAGGUGCGAAAGCGUGGGGAGCGAACGGGAUUAGAUACCCGCGUAGUC
RNAcentral lists this ribosomal RNA (439 nucleotides) under uncultured bacterium. RNAcentral's name for it is "partial 16S ribosomal RNA". It matches the Rfam family "Bacterial small subunit ribosomal RNA", at positions 339 to 795 of the family's 1533-position model. The record is from RNAcentral.